GACGAACGCUGGCGGCGCGCCUAACACAUGCAAGUCGAACGGAGCUGAGAGAAGCUUGCUUUUCUUAGCUUAGUGGCGAACGGGUGAGUAACGCGUGAGUAACCUGCCCUGGAGUGGGGGACAACAGUUGGAAACGACUGCUAAUACCGCAUAAGCCCACGAUCCGGCAUCGGAUUGAGGGAAAAGGAUUUAUUCGCUUCAGGAUGGACUCGCGUCCAAUUAGCUAGUUGGUGAGGUAACGGCCCACCAAGGCGACGAUUGGUAGCCGGACUGGGAGGUUGAACGGCCACGUUGGGACUGAGACACGGCCCAGACUCCUACGGGAGGCAGCAGUGGGGGAUAUUGCACAAUGGGGGAAACCCUGAUGCAGCGACGCCGCGUGGAGGAAGAAGGUUUUCGGAUUGUAAACUCCUGUCGUUAGGGACGAUAAUGACGGUACCUAACAAGAAAGCACCGGCUAACUACGUG
This 468-nucleotide ribosomal RNA is filed under the name uncultured bacterium. RNAcentral describes it as "partial 16S ribosomal RNA". It matches the Rfam family "Bacterial small subunit ribosomal RNA", at positions 28 to 507 of the family's 1533-position model. The record is from RNAcentral.